This 1367-nucleotide long non-coding RNA is filed under the name Homo sapiens (human). Its description in RNAcentral is "HSALNT0251147". Lineage: Eukaryota; Metazoa; Chordata; Mammalia; Primates; Hominidae. The record is from RNAcentral.
CGGUCACUGAUUUACAGCAACCAAACAAUGAAUAAAUAAAUUAAAAAAAAAAAACUUAAAAAUGGUAGAAGAGCUUUGCCAUAUUCUUACUUACCCUUGUCUCACCGCCCUCCUCAGCAAGGCAGCAGUCCUGAAGACUGCAGCCUGCAUUCCAAGUGUGGAUCUUGGUCCCUGGUUCUGGAAGGAGAAGAGCAAGUCUUAUUCUCAAAGAAUUGUGUUUGUCUGUUCUAACCUGUCUGUGGGCUACCUGAAGGACUAAUGCAAAGCUCUUGUCUUUGUUUCACCUAAUUCAGAACUUAUUCAUUGUGAAGGAGCAUCUAUAUGCAGGGAAUUCCUGGAAAACAUUGCUAGAAAAAUGAACAAUCCUCUACUGCCUGGGCCAAAAGAUUACAAUUAAGGUGGGCAGAUGUUCUGGAUGCUUCUUAAUUGACAUCACUUGAGGUCAGUGCAUUUCAAACUUUAAUGUACACAUGAGUCACCUGGGGACCUAGUUAAACUUGAUUCUGAUUCAGUAAGUCUGGGGUGGGGCCUGGGACUCUACAUUUCUAACAAGCUCCCAUGGGUGCUAACUCUGUCUGCUGCUAGGGGACUGUCCUUAGAGCAGAGGCCCGGGUGACCAUCAACCCACCUUCAGUGAUACUGAUGCACUCAGGAAGGAAUGAGUUGCUUUUCUCUUUCUUGAAGCCCUUUGACACUCUGCACAUGUAUCCAUUGGAGCACUUUGUGUUGUAAUGAUUUGUGCGGGGCCCAUCUUCUCUAUGAGGCUGAAGGCUCUUAUACACAGUAGCUGCAUCUUAUUUAUCUCCAUUUGCUCUUGACUUCCACCUCUCCUCACUUUAACACUGUGGUUGGCACAAAAAAGGCACUUAAUGUAUGAUGAGGAACAGGCCCAGACAGGCCUGAUGGUGAUCGGGUGAGCUCAUAAAUGAUGUGGGCUGUUACGUGGCAUCUCUGUUCCUGCGUGGCCAGAUGGCAUAAACCAGUGAUUUCCAACCCUGACUACAGAUCAGGGGAAUUUAAAAAAAUACUGAUCCCAGGCCCACUCCAGUGUUCUGAUUUAAUUGAACUGUUUUGAAGCCCAAGUAUGAAUGACUUUAAUAGCCCUCCAGGCUCUUACAGCUCAAAAAUAAAAAGACAACCCAAUUAAAAAUAGGCAAAAUAUUUGAAUGGAUAUUUUCCCAAGGAAGAUUUACAAGUGGCCCAUAAGUACAGAAAAAGAUAUUAAAUAUCAUUAAGGAAAUGCAAAUCAAAGCUGAGAGAUACACUUCACACCUAAUAGGACGGUGUGGGAGAAUUUCAAACUUUCCCUCUGAAGAUUUGAGUCUAAGGCUGUUGAAGUGAAUUGACAGUAGAUGGAUUAACAGGAA